Molecule: non-coding RNA, 685 nt
Organism: Solanum lycopersicum (tomato)
Lineage: Eukaryota; Viridiplantae; Streptophyta; Magnoliopsida; Solanales; Solanaceae
Source: RefSeq, a predicted model, not a curated record
CCCAAUCUCCAAUCACUCUUCGAAUCAGCACUGCCCUCCCCCCUCUCUCUCCUGUUAAUCUCUAAUUGCCCUAAUCUCCAAUGCCUUCCAUUAAAAGGGAUGCCCUCUUCCCUCUCUACACUAUGUAUUUCCGGCUCACACCACUACUAGAAUUUGACAAGGGGGAAUACUGGACAGAAAUUGCUCAUAUCCCCACCAUAAAGAUCGAUGGGGAAUAUAUUUAACAAUUAAAACAAAUGGCUCUCCAACUGAUAUGUGGCUUUUUAAGAGCGAGUACGACAAGUGUGGUACAUUAAUUGUCCGUAGGAAGUGUUUCUACGGUGCUGCUGCUAUUUUUACAUCUGUUCCCGAGUUCUUUUUUUUUUUUUAAUCUUUCCACUAAAGCUAUUAUGUCGUCCACAGUGAAUUUUCAGGUCUGUUGUUAUAGGCAAGUCUUUGGGAUGCAACUAUCAAAGAAGGGCGAUUACAAUCAGUGUACCGCUGAUACUAUUUCAUGUUUCUAGUGUAAACCUCUUUUGCAAGUUGACAAACUCGAUUAGUUAAUAUGUUUGGGACUCAACUAGUGGUUAGAGUACUCAUUUUGUAAGACUUGUGUACAGAAAAUCAAAUUAGAAUUAUAACUCGUGAUGGUUGAAUAAACUCCAAGAAGUACUGCUAUAGUUAUAGUGGAUAUGUAGUUUGCUCA